This 408-nucleotide ribosomal RNA is filed under the name uncultured bacterium. RNAcentral's name for it is "partial 16S ribosomal RNA". It matches the Rfam family "Bacterial small subunit ribosomal RNA", at positions 28 to 526 of the family's 1533-position model. The record is from RNAcentral.
GACGAACGCUGGCGGCGUGCCUAAUACAUGCAAGUCGAACGAAGUGGCGCACGGGUGAGUAAUAUAUAGUUAAUCUGCCCUACACAGAGGAACAACAGUUGGAAACGACUGCUAAUACCUCAUAGUGUAGGAUGAGACUAUAUCGUAUCAGCUAGUUGGUAAGGUAAUGGCUUACCAAGGCUAUGACGCGUAACUGGUCUGAGAGGAUGAUCAGUCACAUUGGAACUGAGACACGGUCCAAACUCCUACGGGAGGCAGCAGUAAGGAAUAUUGCGCAAUGGGGGAAACCCUGACGCAGCAACGCCGCGUGUGUGAAGAAGGCCUUCGGGUUGUAGCCUUCGGAAGUUCCUCGACCGUUACUCGCAGAAGAAGCACCGGCUAACUCCGUGCCAGCAGCCGCGGUAAUUC